Molecule: long non-coding RNA, 651 nt
Organism: Lolium rigidum
Lineage: Eukaryota; Viridiplantae; Streptophyta; Magnoliopsida; Poales; Poaceae
Exons: 2
Source: RefSeq, a predicted model, not a curated record
GCGAGCAAAAACUGCGAGCAGCCGAACACAACCGGUCCACUCAAAAAUUCUCUACUUAGGAUAAUUACACAUGUGCAUGUGCUGCUGAUGUUAAUAGCCGUACGUGGCUUUUGUUUUCAGGCAAGCUCGUCACUGCUGGCUAUGGGCAACUGCAUGUCGUCACGAGUCUCACGACCACUACCGCGGCCAACGCCAACACCAUCGACACAGCCGCAGGGCCCGCGGAACCCUGCAAGUAAUUUGAGUGUUCGUAAUGAUGGAGACUUGACUUACAACCGGGAUGCCAAGAACCCCAGAAAAUAACCGCCGUUCCCCAUGUGACCACGAAAGCAAUACAUAUUUACUGGUGGGCAUCGCAUGAUAUGAAGAAACAAAUAUGUGAUCUUGACUCUCUGCUGGGAGCCUAGUAUAUGUCAUUCGUGUGAUGAACAGUUACAACUUAUUCUUUUAUCUGAGUUGGCAGUAUAUUUCCUUUCUUGGUUUGUAUAUAUACAUUAUAUUAAGAUCAUUAAAAAUUAGAGCAGAGUCCUGAUGUUUCUUCAAAAAAUGUACUCCCUCCUUGCCACAGUGUACUUCAUAUAAGAUUUUUUAAAAGUCAUAAUUUGUAAAAUUUAACCACUUUUAAUGAGGAAUAUAUGCAUAUCUACAAUA